RNAcentral lists this long non-coding RNA (397 nucleotides) under Linum usitatissimum (flax). Its description in RNAcentral is "long non-coding RNA (LUSI_LNC001753)". The record is from RNAcentral. Lineage: Eukaryota; Viridiplantae; Streptophyta; Magnoliopsida; Malpighiales; Linaceae.
AAGAUUCGAUCUUUCUUCCUUGUUUCGUUUUCUUCUUGUUCUUGAGCUUCGUCUCUGAAUCAAAGACUUGUUUGUAAUCGAGAGAGAAGAAGAAGAAGAAGAAGGGUGGGGGUGUGGCUUCUGUGCUCUGGUUUCUUUCCUCUUUGUGUUGUUGUUCCUUUGGGAGAUUGUCUUUGCUUUUUAUUUUCUUCUCUAAGGUUUUUUUUUUUGGUUUUUGGAUUUUGGUUUGUAAUCCUUUCUUUGAUUGUUAAUGAGAAACCCUCCCGAAAAGGGUAGAGCCAAAGCUAUAUAGGAGAGUGGCAAAGGGGUAUUUAUAUACCAUUGUUGGAAGAGAGAGAUGGUGAGGUGGGAGAACGUGGCAAAAGUUAGAAUCCUGAGUGAAAGUAGAUUAUUCCGA